GACGAACGCUGGCGGCGUGCUUAACACAUGCAAGUCGAACGGAAAGGCCCUGCUUUUGUGGGGUGCUCGAGUGGCGAACGGGUGAGUAACACGUGAGUAACCUGCCCUUGACUUUGGGAUAACUUCAGGAAACUGGGGCUAAUACCGGAUAGGAGCUCCUGCUGCAUGGUGGGGUUUGGUAAGUUUCGGCGGUUGGGGAUGGACUCGCGGCUUAUCAGCUUGUUGGUGGGGUAGUGGCUUACCAAGGCUUUGACGGGUAGCCGGCCUGAGAGGGUGACCGGCCACAUUGGGACUGAGAUACGGCCCAGACUCCUACGGGAGGCAGCAGUGGGGAAUAUUGCACAAUGGGCGGAAGCCUGAUGCAGCAACGCCGCGUGCGGGAUGACGGCCUUCGGGUUGUAAACCGCUUUCGCCUGUGACGAAGCGUGAGUGACGGUAAUGGGUAAAGAAGCACCGGCUAACUACGUG
This 468-nucleotide ribosomal RNA is filed under the name uncultured bacterium. RNAcentral's name for it is "partial 16S ribosomal RNA". It matches the Rfam family "Bacterial small subunit ribosomal RNA", at positions 28 to 507 of the family's 1533-position model. The record is from RNAcentral.